UUUAAGUCCAUUGGAAAAUGGCGCCAUGGAGGGUGAUAGCCCCGUAAAAGUAUCCCUUUUCCUUUUAUCCAUUUCCUCCCAAAGAGUCGAGUUGUUUGGGAAUGCAGCUCUAAGUGGGUGGUAAAUUCCAUCUAAAGCUAAAUAUUGGCGAGAGACCGAUAGCGAACAAGUACAGUGAUGGAAAGAUGAAAAGCACUUUGAAAAGAGAGUGAAAAAGUACGUGAAAUUGUUGAAAGGGAAGGGCUUGCAAGCAGACACAACCUCGGUUGGGCCAGCAUCGGAGUGGGGGGAGACAAAAAAGAAAAGGAAUGUAACUCUUUCGAGUAUUAUAGCCUUUUUCUCAUAUCUCCACCCCCUUCCGAGGCCUGCGAUUCUUCAAGGAUGCUGGCGUAAUGGUUGCAAGUCGCCCGUCUU
RNAcentral lists this ribosomal RNA (414 nucleotides) under Metschnikowia reukaufii. RNAcentral describes it as "eukaryotic LSU rRNA". It matches the Rfam family "Eukaryotic large subunit ribosomal RNA", at positions 180 to 655 of the family's 3401-position model. Lineage: Eukaryota; Fungi; Ascomycota; Pichiomycetes; Serinales; Metschnikowiaceae. The record is from RNAcentral.